This is a long non-coding RNA of Mustela lutreola (European mink), 1950 nucleotides long. RefSeq lists it as uncharacterized. Lineage: Eukaryota; Metazoa; Chordata; Mammalia; Carnivora; Mustelidae. The transcript has 6 exons. The record is from RefSeq and is a predicted model, not a curated record.
UUAGCAUUCUCAAGCAGUCUCCCAUCCAAGUACAAACCAGGCUUGGCCCUGCUUACCUUCUGAGAUCAGAUGGGAUCAGGUGUAUUCAGGGUGGUACGGCCAUAGACAACAAUUUAAACUGAGACUAGUCAACAUAUUUAUGUGUUCUUCACCUACAUUCAGCUACAGAAAAGACUAGCACAUGAAUUGAUGAAUCCCAAUACAAAUGGCUUCGUCUAAUGUGCUGAAGGUCUGAAUGGAACAAGAAGGCAGGAAGAAGGAAAGGAUAAUAUUUUAGAAGUGGCUCUCAGGAGCAGGCAGCACUCCACUGUCUACAUUGCAGUGUAGACUGAAACGAUCUAAGCUCCACUGUAGUCAGUGUUCCAUCUGUACUCCAGACUCAGGCACUGUGUAGAAUACUUCAUAUGCACCGUUUGACUUAUUCCUCAUAACAAUCUCACAUGGGACAGAGCUCUAGUGGCGCUCCGCAAACUGAAACGAAGGACGCCUCUGCCACCUCCUGGACACUCUGAGAAAUUCAAAGGAUUUUUCCACAGGAAGAGGGUAUAUGCUUUAUUCUUUCCUUACCAUAAUUUUUGUGGCCUUUGCUAGGCAGUGGAGGUAAAUAUACACAUUUAAUUUUCCCACAUUUAACUGAAUGCUUCCUAUAAGUUUUAUUGACUAUUUAGAAGGGCAAUGGGGAUUUGGGGCCUUGGGCCUAGAGAAAUAAUAGUUUCUGAAUGUUUUUUUGGCCCAGGGAGAGUUUUCUGAUUUCUCCAUAAAAGGUGAGAACUGAGUAGGGCUUGUGAGAAAUAGGCUCUUGGUUGUCAAGGGAAAAAAGGACACAUACACACACACACACACACACACACACACACACACACACACAUUCCAUUCUGUGUUUGUAGUUGGGUAAGUUCAUGAAGAUUCUUGAAGAAAAAAGCCGUACUGUGAGACUUUCUAGUAUCAAGAUCACUUACCAUUCAGAUGUUAGUUCACUAAAAGGGAGGGUGACAUGAUACGUUAAAUGACUUUCUUGAUUACAAGAAGAGGAAAAAGAGAACCAAAGUAAAAUGGGAUUUUGUAGAACACAGAAAAAGCUUAAAACAAAAGGUCACUUAGAGAGUUCUAAAUUCUCAGGUAAGGGUUUAAGAACUUCUCUGACAACAUGAGUUAGAAUUCUGAGGGGAGAAGAAUGAACCAGGCUUUUGUGAGAUUCUUGUUCAAGAUGGUGUUGUAGGAAAAUCCAGAACUCACUCUCUCCCCACAACACACCCCAAGCCUACAGCUAUAUAUGGAACAAUUUUUUUUUCCUGAAAAAACCCUAAAAACUAGCUGAGCAACUCCUACACAUUGGGCAAACGAGAGAAAAAAAAAAAAAAGCCACAUCAAAGUUGGUUGAAGAGCCCAAGACACAAUCUUGCCGUAAACCCCACUCUCAGCACUGUGACCUAUAAUCAGGAGGGAGCUCAAAACCCGGAGCUUCUCCCUGAAGAGCAAAGGGUUUGAAUUCCACAUCAGACACCUCAAAUUUUAAGACCUGCACCUGAGAGAUAAGCUCAUAAAAUAUCCAAUUUUGAAGAUCAAUGGGCCUCAUGUCCACAAGACCCACAGGCUAUAGCAAACUGAGAAAUGAAAUUUGUUAUUGUAACAAAAAAACCCAAAGAUCUGAAAUUGCUUUUUUUCUGUUUUUUUAAAACAUUCUAAAAAGUGAGACUGAAACUUCCAUUAACUUUAUGUCAGAAAGUACUUCACAUCAGUUGGUUGAAUUAUCCCACAAUAAAAAAGCAAACCAGCCAAACUGAAAACAUUUGCAGCCCCAUUAUUAUUAAUUUUUUUCCCUGAUUUGACCCUAGUCUCUUCUCCAACAUGAAAGCUAUCUGGCCCUAUUUGGUCAAGAGCGAUUUUAAACCUAAGUAUUAGGUUUUGAAGGUGUCAUUUCUCAAGGGAGGAACAAAAGUAAUAGGCUGC